AUGCUUCACUGCCUCAAAGUUGUUCAAGUCUCUGGGUUAACUAUAUUUAAACAGAAUUACAGUGCUUACUAGUGUGACUGUUGGGGCUACUCCUGAUAAUUUUGGAGGACUAACGAAGAGAGAUACACAAAUCCUGGGACAGGCAAAUGUGCUAUUUAUGAUUAAAGGGAGAAAGUGGAUUUCAGACACUAAAUACUUGUGAAAUUGAAGUCAAGAUCUAGAAAGGCAAGUGAUGACUCUGAGUAGCAGCGUGGGUAUGGAAAGUAAUUGACUUCCUUUUUUACACGUAUUUAAUUUCUUUUUAUGGCAGUUACUAGACAAUCUGCCAUUAUUUUUUUUUGAUCCAUGUGUUCAAUAAACACAUACCUAUUAAGUAUUUACUUGGCUCUGAGGCUGAGUAUGGGAGAUCAGAGAUAAUCAGACCCUGCUUCUGACCCUGAGAGUUCCAACUUUAUUUGGGAACACACAUGGAAUUGAGAAAGAGGAACAGCUCUGGAUGGCUGCAAUGGCUGGAGCUGAACUGAUCCGAAGCCAGGAGGCAGGAGCUUCUUCCUGGUCUUCCACGUGGGUGCAGGGGCCCAAGGACUUGGGCCAUCUUCUACUGCUAUCCGAGGCCAUAGCAGAGAGCUGGAUUGGAAGAGGAGCAGCUGGGACUAGAACCAGCACCCAUAUGGGAUGCCGGAGCUUCAGAUCUGCAAGGACAGCUUUGGAUGCGUUUGUGGAAAAAUGCCUGGUUGUUCUUCAGGAGCUGCUUUUCUUUCAAGCUAAGUAGCGUAACAAUGUUUUGGUUCUUUUUCUUAAUUUGUGUGUGUGUGUGUGUGUGUGUGUGUCUGUGUGUUUAUGGUUGCAAAGAAUAGAGAUUUGACUUGUCCCCACUCUUGGUAAUUCAGAGUAAAAUUGUGAGGGCACAAACCGUAAGAAAAAGCCAAGCAAUUAGCGUUACAGAAGGUGAAAUUUCCAGAAGGUUGCUGAGGCUUCAACCACAGAAUCAGGGAGGUUUGCUCUGGUCUUGCCCUUUUAGCGUGACCGGGCUACUCCCCAAAUGCUUGCUUUUCUCUUUACCAUUUGGUUUUCAAAUCUCACAUUUUAUUAUGUCCCUCCUGAUUUCUUCUUCUCUUCUUGAAAUUUGACUUGAGAAAUCGACAGAGUGAGAUCUUCAGUCGUCUGGUCGCCUGGUGUCCCUCCCCCUAGCCCCGCAAUGCCCAUAACAUCCAGGGCUGUGUCAGGCCCAAACCAGAAGCUGGAAACUGAAUCCAAGUCUCCCCUGUGGUUGGCAGGGACCGAAGAAUCUGUGGCAUCACCUGCUGACUCUCACGGUGCACAUUAACAGAAAGCUAGAAUUGGGAGCAGAGCGGGGACUUGAACUUGGGCACUCUGAAAUGGGAGGCAGGCAUCUCGACGAGUAUCUUAGCUGUUAGGCUGAACAUCCUCCUCCUAAUUUCUAUACCUCAUGAUAUUGAGUUUUAUACAGAGGAGUCUAUACAACCUCACAGGUGUAUGGGGGGAAACACAACAUGUCACCAGCACUGAGACUGAGAGGGUUGAUAUGCCAAAAGGGGACACACGACCAGGACAAGAAAUGCUAUAGGUGAUAACCAGACAAUGAAAGACCAGAAAUGACAAGGUACCCUGACUUGGUAAGAUUUAGCAAAAAUAGGUGCCUGUGAGGUACUCAAAGUUUAAUCAUAAACAUGUGAGCAAAUGAACAUUUCAUGACACUUGAGUUUUGAGACUGAGUAAAAUUCAAACCAGCUACACAGGCAAAUCAUCUAAAAUGGGAGUUCUCUGUCUAUCAUACCUACUUGUCUCAGAGAGGGCCAUCCACGCUAAGCCAAGUCUCAAGUAUUCAUUUAUUUAUAAGAAUUCAUGGGACUCUAGCAUAGUGUGAAAGCAUGUUAAAUCCCAAUUUCUGCUUUCAAUUAAUAAGUAAAGUUGUCUGCUUAAUAAUGGAUUUUGUUUUCUAUCAGAGAAUCUGUGGCUUGGACACAUUUUCUUUUGGCAGCUUCCAAAAUACAUUCUCUUCUCCUCAGUUCCAAAAUGUCCGACACUUCGAUUAACUCUUAUUGAUCUCUCCUACUGAAUCUCCAGGAUUAUUAUUAUUUGGUGGAGAGAUGACAUAAUCUUUAGGGGCUCACUUGCUUCUCAAAGAUAAAAAUUAAAGCAAUUUAUGGCUUCUCUUAAAAAUAAAAUAAAUAUGAUAUUUUACAAUUAUAGCCAGUGAACACAAAAACUUUAAAGAGUAAAAAUGUCCUUUACUGGAGGUGAGAGGUUAAGAGCAGAGUUGAGUCAGAGACAUGGCUCACAUGAGUUUCUUGGCAAUAAAAAGCGUGUUUUACAUUUUUACACACUGCGGUGAUGGAUGACAUGUCAUCGACAUGACUACAUCAAAAUAGAAAUGCCAGACUCUUCCCAUCGGGAGGUUGCUGGAGGAACACGGGAGUCCAGAGGCUGACCUGUCGAGAACGCCAUGCUUCGUUUUACAUGUGUUAAUGCAUUUUUUUCUUGCAUUAAUCCUACGAUGUUGGCACUAUGAGAUUUUGUUGUUGCUGUUGUUGUUGUACUAGAGAUGAAACUGAAACAUCCGGAAUCUAAGUCAAGAUCACACAAUUAGUCAUUGGUCAAAUGUGAAUUCAAACCAGGUGCUGAGCCAGGUGUUCUACAUAAAUUAUCUCAUUUGUUUUCUCUGACAACAUAAUAAGAUGCUCACAACAACCGGACUUUGGCCAGGAUAAAACUAGGAGUCUACAGCUCCAUUGUGAUCUCCCAGCUCUCUGCUACGGCCUAAGAAAGCAGUGGAAGGUGGCCUAAGUCUCGGGCCUCUGGACCCACGUGGGAAACCCGGAAGAUGCUCCUGGCUCCUGACUUUGAAUUGGCUCAGCUCUGGCCAUUGCAGCCAUCUAGGGAGUGGACCAGUGGAUAGAAGACCUCUUUCUUUCUCUACCUCUCUCUGUAACUCUGUCUUUCAAAUAAAUAAAUAAAAUAAAUCUUUAGAAAAUGAUAGUUUUAAAAGUACAA
Molecule: non-coding RNA, 3015 nt
Organism: Oryctolagus cuniculus (rabbit)
Lineage: Eukaryota; Metazoa; Chordata; Mammalia; Lagomorpha; Leporidae
Source: RefSeq, a predicted model, not a curated record